This 74-nucleotide transfer RNA is filed under the name Roseisolibacter agri. Its description in RNAcentral is "tRNA-Phe". It matches the Rfam family "tRNA". Rfam says of the family: Transfer RNA (tRNA) molecules are approximately 80 nucleotides in length. Their secondary structure includes four short double-helical elements and three loops (D, anti-codon, and T loops). The record is from RNAcentral. Lineage: Bacteria; Pseudomonadati; Gemmatimonadota; Gemmatimonadia; Gemmatimonadales; Gemmatimonadaceae.
GGCCAGGUAGCUCAGUUGGUAGAGCAGGGGACUGAAAAUCCCCGUGUCGGGGGUUCGAUUCCCUCCCUGGCCAC